AACAGAAUGCCUGAUUAAAAAGGAUUACUUUGAUAGAGUAAAAUAUGUAACCCAAGUUACUUCUGUUA
RNAcentral lists this transfer RNA (68 nucleotides) under Aleocharinae sp. 5 EF-2015. Its description in RNAcentral is "tRNA-Ile". The record is from RNAcentral. Lineage: Eukaryota; Metazoa; Arthropoda; Insecta; Coleoptera; Staphylinidae.